UGGCGGCAGGCCUAACACAUGCAAGUCGAGCGGUAACAUUUCUAGCUUGCUAGAAGAUGACGAGCGGCGGACGGGUGAGUAACGCGUAGAAAUCUACCUAGUAGUGGGGGAUAGCCCAGAGAAAUUUGGAUUAAUACCGCAUACGCCCUACGGGGGAAAGCGGGGGAUCUUCGGACCUCGUGCUAUUAGAUGAGUCUGCGUCGGAUUGGCUUGUUGGUGAGGUAAUGGCUCACCAAGGCGACGAUCCGUAGCUGGUCUGAGAGGAUGACCAGCCACACUGGAACUGAGACACGGUCCAGACUCCUACGGGAGGCAGCAGUGGGGAAUAUUGCACAAUGGGCGCAAGCCUGAUGCAGCCAUGCCGCGUGUGUGAAGAAGGCCUUAGGGUUGUAAAGCACUUUCAGCAGUGAGGAAAGGGGUGUCGUUAAUAGCGCCAUCCUGUGACGUUAACUGCAGAAGAAGGACCGGCUAACUCCGUG
RNAcentral lists this ribosomal RNA (479 nucleotides) under uncultured bacterium. RNAcentral's name for it is "bacterial SSU rRNA". It matches the Rfam family "Bacterial small subunit ribosomal RNA", at positions 37 to 507 of the family's 1533-position model. The record is from RNAcentral.